GCCGCGAUAGCUCAGUUGGUAGAGCAUCUGCCCAGUAAGCGCAGCGUCGCCGAUUUGGUUCCGGCUCGCGGCG
This 73-nucleotide transfer RNA is filed under the name Fasciola hepatica (liver fluke). It matches the Rfam family "tRNA". Rfam says of the family: Transfer RNA (tRNA) molecules are approximately 80 nucleotides in length. Their secondary structure includes four short double-helical elements and three loops (D, anti-codon, and T loops). Further hydrogen bonds mediate the characteristic L-shaped molecular structure. tRNAs have two regions of fundamental functional importance: the anti-codon, which is responsible for specific mRNA codon recognition, and the 3' end, to which the tRNAs corresponding amino acid is attached (by aminoacyl-tRNA synthetases). tRNAs cope with the degeneracy of the genetic code in two manners: having more than one tRNA (with a specific anti-codon) for a particular amino acid; and 'wobble' base-pairing, i.e. permitting non-standard base-pairing at the 3rd anti-codon position. The record is from Rfam by way of RNAcentral. Lineage: Eukaryota; Metazoa; Platyhelminthes; Trematoda; Plagiorchiida; Fasciolidae.